Molecule: ribosomal RNA, 468 nt
Filed under: uncultured bacterium
Lineage: Bacteria
Description: partial 16S ribosomal RNA
Rfam family: Bacterial small subunit ribosomal RNA
Source: RNAcentral
GACGAACGCUGGCGGCGUGCUUAACACAUGCAAGUCGAACGGAAAGGCCCUGCUUUUGUGGGGUGCUCGAGUGGCGAACGGGUGAGUAACACGUGAGUAACCUUCCCUGUACUUUGUGAUAACUUCAGGAAACUGGGGCUAAUACCUGCUAGGAGCUCCUGCUGCAUGGUGGGGGUUGGAAAGUUUCGGCGGUUGGGGAUGGACUCGCGGCUUAUCAGCUUGUUGGUGGGGUAGUUGCUUACCAAGGCUUUGACGGGUAGCCGGCCUGAGAGGGUGACCGGCGACAUUGGGACUGAGAUACGGCCCAGACUCCUACGGGAGGCAGCAGUGGGGAAUAUUGCACAAUGGGCGGAAGCCUGAUGCAGCAGUGCCGCGUGCGGGAUGACGGCCUUCGGGUUGUAAACCGCUUUAGCCUGUGACGAAGCGUGAGUGACGGUAAUGGGUAAAGAAGCACCGGCUAACUACGUG